Molecule: ribosomal RNA, 269 nt
Filed under: uncultured archaeon
Lineage: Archaea
Description: partial 16S ribosomal RNA
Rfam family: Archaeal small subunit ribosomal RNA
Source: RNAcentral
AUAUCUGAGACACGAUAUCAGGCCCUACGGGGCGCAGCAGGCGCGAAAGCUUCACACUGCGCGAAAGCACGAUGAGGGAAUCCCAAGUGCUUGCUCGCAAGAGUAAGCUGUUUCUUUGUUUAAAUGCAUUGAGAGUAAGGGCUGGGUAAGACGGGUGCCAGCCGCCGCGGUAAUACCUGCAGCUCGAGUGGUGGCCGCUAUUAUUGGGCCUAAAACGUCCGUAGCCGGUUUAAUAAAUGCCUGGGUAAAUCGUGUAGCUUAACUAUACG